This 2903-nucleotide ribosomal RNA is filed under the name Salmonella enterica. Its description in RNAcentral is "bacterial LSU rRNA". It matches the Rfam family "Bacterial large subunit ribosomal RNA". The record is from RNAcentral. Lineage: Bacteria; Pseudomonadati; Pseudomonadota; Gammaproteobacteria; Enterobacterales; Enterobacteriaceae.
UUAAGCGACUAAGCGUACACGGUGGAUGCCCUGGCAGUCAGAGGCGAUGAAGGGCGUGCUAAUCUGCGAUAAGCGCCGGUAAGGUGAUAUGAACCGUUAUAACCGGCGAUACCCGAAUGGGGAAACCCAGUGUGACUCGUCACACUAUCAUUAACUGAAUCCAUAGGUUAAUGAGGCGAACCGGGGGAACUGAAACAUCUAAGUACCCCGAGGAAAAGAAAUCAACCGAGAUUCCCCCAGUAGCGGCGAGCGAACGGGGAGGAGCCCAGAGCCUGAAUCAGCAUGUGUGUUAGUGGAAGCGUCUGGAAAGGCGCGCGAUACAGGGUGACAGCCCCGUACACAAAAGCGCAUGUGCUGUGAGCUCGAUGAGUAGGGCGGGACACGUGGUAUCCUGUCUGAAUAUGGGGGGACCAUCCUCCAAGGCUAAAUACUCCUGACUGACCGAUAGUGAACCAGUACCGUGAGGGAAAGGCGAAAAGAACCCCGGCGAGGGGAGUGAAAAAGAACCUGAAACCGUGUACGUACAAGCAGUGGGAGCACCCUUUUGGGUGUGACUGCGUACCUUUUGUAUAAUGGGUCAGCGACUUAUAUUCUGUAGCAAGGUUAACCGUAUAGGGGAGCCGUAGGGAAACCGAGUCUUAACCGGGCGUUAAGUUGCAGGGUAUAGACCCGAAACCCGGUGAUCUAGCCAUGGGCAGGUUGAAGGUUGGGUAACACUAACUGGAGGACCGAACCGACUAAUGUUGAAAAAUUAGCGGAUGACCUGUGGCUGGGGGUGAAAGGCCAAUCAAACCGGGAGAUAGCUGGUUCUCCCCGAAAGCUAUUUAGGUAGCGCCUCGUGAAUUCAUCUCCGGGGGUAGAGCACUGUUUCGGCUAGGGGGCCAUCCCGGCUUACCAACCCGAUGCAAACUGCGAAUACCGGAGAAUGUUAUCACGGGAGACACACGGCGGGUGCUAACGUCCGUCGUGAAGAGGGAAACAACCCAGACCGCCAGCUAAGGUCCCAAAGUCAUGGUUAAGUGGGAAACGAUGUGGGAAGGCCCAGACAGCCAGGAUGUUGGCUUAGAAGCAGCCAUCAUUUAAAGAAAGCGUAAUAGCUCACUGGUCGAGUCGGCCUGCGCGGAAGAUGUAACGGGGCUAAACCAUGCACCGAAGCUGCGGCAGCGACACUAUGUGUUGUUGGGUAGGGGAGCGUUCUGUAAGCCUGUGAAGGUGUGCUGUGAGGCAUGCUGGAGGUAUCAGAAGUGCGAAUGCUGACAUAAGUAACGAUAAAGCGGGUGAAAAGCCCGCUCGCCGGAAGACCAAGGGUUCCUGUCCAACGUUAAUCGGGGCAGGGUGAGUCGACCCCUAAGGCGAGGCCGAAAGGCGUAGUCGAUGGGAAACGGGUUAAUAUUCCCGUACUUGGUGUUACUGCGAAGGGGGGACGGAGAAGGCUAUGUUGGCCGGGCGACGGUUGUCCCGGUUUAAGCGUGUAGGUGUGUGUUCCAGGUAAAUCCGGUUCACUUUAACACUGAGGCGUGAUGACGAGGCACUACGGUGCUGAAGCAACAAAUGCCCUGCUUCCAGGAAAAGCCUCUAAGCAUCAGGUAACAUCAAAUCGUACCCCAAACCGACACAGGUGGUCAGGUAGAGAAUACCAAGGCGCUUGAGAGAACUCGGGUGAAGGAACUAGGCAAAAUGGUGCCGUAACUUCGGGAGAAGGCACGCUGACACGUAGGUGAAGUGAUUUACUCAUGGAGCUGAAGUCAGUCGAAGAUACCAGCUGGCUGCAACUGUUUAUUAAAAACACAGCACUGUGCAAACACGAAAGUGGACGUAUACGGUGUGACGCCUGCCCGGUGCCGGAAGGUUAAUUGAUGGGGUCAGCGCAAGCGAAGCUCCUGAUCGAAGCCCCGGUAAACGGCGGCCGUAACUAUAACGGUCCUAAGGUAGCGAAAUUCCUUGUCGGGUAAGUUCCGACCUGCACGAAUGGCGUAAUGAUGGCCAGGCUGUCUCCACCCGAGACUCAGUGAAAUUGAACUCGCUGUGAAGAUGCAGUGUACCCGCGGCAAGACGGAAAGACCCCGUGAACCUUUACUAUAGCUUGACACUGAACAUUGAGCCUUGAUGUGUAGGAUAGGUGGGAGGCUUUGAAGUGUGGACGCCAGUCUGCAUGGAGCCGACCUUGAAAUACCACCCUUUAAUGUUUGAUGUUCUAACGUGGACCCGUGAUCCGGGUUGCGGACAGUGUCUGGUGGGUAGUUUGACUGGGGCGGUCUCCUCCUAAAGAGUAACGGAGGAGCACGAAGGUUGGCUAAUCCUGGUCGGACAUCAGGAGGUUAGUGCAAUGGCAUAAGCCAGCUUGACUGCGAGCGUGACGGCGCGAGCAGGUGCGAAAGCAGGUCAUAGUGAUCCGGUGGUUCUGAAUGGAAGGGCCAUCGCUCAACGGAUAAAAGGUACUCCGGGGAUAACAGGCUGAUACCGCCCAAGAGUUCAUAUCGACGGCGGUGUUUGGCACCUCGAUGUCGGCUCAUCACAUCCUGGGGCUGAAGUAGGUCCCAAGGGUAUGGCUGUUCGCCAUUUAAAGUGGUACGCGAGCUGGGUUUAGAACGUCGUGAGACAGUUCGGUCCCUAUCUGCCGUGGGCGCUGGAGAACUGAGGGGGGCUGCUCCUAGUACGAGAGGACCGGAGUGGACGCAUCACUGGUGUUCGGGUUGUCAUGCCAAUGGCACUGCCCGGUAGCUAAAUGCGGAAGAGAUAAGUGCUGAAAGCAUCUAAGCACGAAACUUGCCCCGAGAUGAGUUCUCCCUGAGACUUAGAGUCUCCUGAAGGAACGUUGAAGACGACGACGUUGAUAGGCCGGGUGUGUAAGCGCAGCGAUGCGUUGAGCUAACCGGUACUAAUGAACCGUGAGGCUUAACCUU